UUUCUACCCAACUCAUCCAAAGUGCAAUAUUGUUGUGUGAUUUUACUUUAUUCACGUGCUUUAGAUAGAUGACAACACAAAUUAUUAUCAAGAUAGAUAACCAGAAGUUAAAUUUUAUAUGUUUUUUUCGUCUAAUCUAAUAAGUGUAACGCCUAUUGACAAGUGUAACUCCAUCUGUCAACUCUGUAACACGGAUGUUAUUAUACCAACAUUUCCAAGAAUAACAUAUUGCAGGAACCAGCUGACAGCCCGGUUAGCUUUCCUAGCAUUAGGGUUAUAUAUCAAGUUCCAGAAGCAUACCUAUAUCAGUCUGCUAGGGAGCAGUACUUUCCCUUUGGCAACAUACUUGCUACUAGGAACAGGAGCCUUUAUUAUCUUGUCAGGAAUCAUUUGUUGUACUGGGACUUGUAUAGAAAAUAGAUGCUUUAUGGUUAUGAUUGAAGACACAUUUGCACAAAAUGAUGAAACUGGCGAACAGGAAUCGCUGUCAGCUAUAGAUAUGUUCCGAAAGAAUGCAUAGAAAGCUUUAUUAGCCUGGACAGCCAAUGCUAUUACAAAAAAAUAUGGUAUAGAAGUUAAUAAUUUCAGUAAAAGUUGGUGAGAUGGUCUUGCAUUCAAUGCCAUGGUACAUACAAUCAACCCUGACUUAGUGGAUUUCGAUCAGUGCAGGAAACAGGAUGCUAGAACUAAUCUAGAGCAGACAUUCUCAGAUGCAGAGUCACAACUUUGUAUCGCAAGACAACUUGACCCUGAAGAUUAGUAUUAUAAGGCAGUAAGGGUAAAGGUACUUAGGCGUGCACUAAAAUGUGGACACAUAGACGUUGAUGUUGAGAAGCCUGACGAGAAAUCAGUCAUGACUUACGUUGCACACUUCUUAAAGGCCUACCUAGAGGCUGGUGAGGACCUAGUCUAUCCAAAAGGAAAAACCCAGCAAAACAAGAGAUAUCUGAUUACAAUGAUCUGCUCACCUGGAUUAAAGAGGAAACUGAUGAGGUUCUACAGAUUGUAGACCAACCAGUGACAGACAGUCAGGCUGAAUAUAUGGAUUACUUAUCAUUUAAAACAGAAUUUGACAGACGACAAAAAAUAUUCCAGAGGUUAGAAGAGAAAGUAGUGAGCAAAAAAGCCGUUAAAAUUACUCCCAAAAUGUGGCAGGAAUAAGAACCCAAAUGGCAAGACAUUGCUAGACGUACUUGUAUGUGGUUAUGGAAACUUGAUGCUAAUCUACUAGGUCAUCCCAGAAAGUUUGGUGAUUGGUUAAAUCAAGCAGAGGAAAUGUUAGAGAUUGAACCUGAAAACCAGUAAGACCAUAUAGAAAUAGCAGAUCAACUUCUUAAACUAUUAAAUGAACACAAGGACUUUCUCAAAGAAAUGGACUCGUACAAAAAGUUUUUUUUACAAGUGAAACGUGCAGGAAAAUAUGAAGGCGAAUUCAUCCCACCACCACAAAUGGACAAUUUACACACUAGGCUACAAGUCGUGUGUAAAGAAGCACCAAAGCGUGAGAAUCUACUACAGUAUGACGAAUUCUGAUUUAGACUUGCUGGAUUCAGUGCCGCUACGGAGGAAAAAGUGAAGAUGUGGUUGUCAAAGUUAGGCACACAAGAAGACGUAGAUGAGAGGGUUCUGGAUUACAAGGACUUUGUACAGACCAAUAAUUUAUUUGCAAACUAUGACAAGAUGCUCAGAGAGACGAAAAAGAGAGGUGAUGCUUUCAGAAAACAUGUCUCAAAAGAAGAAGCUGCACAGAUUACACAAUUUGCUGAUGAAAAAACACAAAAAUGGAAAACAAUGUCCGCUGAAAUUAAAUCUUUACAAUCAAUGUUUGAUGAGGGAUUAGAGCAGUGGAAAAGAUAUAGUGGAUGUUACAAUAUGGUAAUUGCAUGGAUCACAGAAGGAGAACAAGUCAUGCAUGGUGGAACAAAGAACAAAUUGAGGAAUAUUUUACCGAUAUUCCACAGUACGAAGAAAGACUUUCUUUUAAAAAAAAUUUUAAACGAAUCUGUAAACUUUUUGAUAGAAAAUUGUCAAGAACCUAUAUUGCAGAAGAAAUUUAACAAAACGUUAAUAUGAUUAACAGUAGAUUUACAGAAUUAGUAGAAGGAUAUCAACAUUAUAAGAAAGUAGAAGUUAUAGGAAAGUGUAGACAAGAAUACCAGCUUGGAGUAGACAGAAUAUCAGAGUGGUUACAAAAUGCUGAGGAAUUUUUGGCUACUGAAGUGCAUUUGUCAAAAAGGCAGUUCAGACUGUGGAUGAUCUGAUGAAAGCCUUACAACAAGAGGAUCUCACGAGUGAGGAAUACAACGACUUACAAAAUAAA
This is a long non-coding RNA of Mytilus californianus (California mussel), 2320 nucleotides long. RefSeq lists it as uncharacterized. The record is from RefSeq and is a predicted model, not a curated record. NCBI's taxonomy places the organism in Eukaryota, Metazoa, Mollusca, Bivalvia, Mytilida, Mytilidae. The transcript has 10 exons.